UCGUCUUAUGCCUCGCUCGGCCAGCUUCCCUUCCACAGCUGGUCUUGAGCUGGAUACACUAUUGUGUACUAGACAAGAAUGAUCCAACGACCUUUGAGUGCGGAACCUCCUCUUUCUUACGUGGCGGACCUUCGCAAUUUGUCUGUUGAUACAA
Glarea lozoyensis ATCC 20868 is the source of this 154-nucleotide small nucleolar RNA. NCBI's taxonomy places the organism in Eukaryota, Fungi, Ascomycota, Leotiomycetes, Helotiales, Helotiaceae. The record is from Rfam.